This is a long non-coding RNA of Heterocephalus glaber (naked mole-rat), 1881 nucleotides long. The record is from Ensembl. NCBI's taxonomy places the organism in Eukaryota, Metazoa, Chordata, Mammalia, Rodentia, Bathyergidae.
AAUAAACAUAUAUCUUGAAUAUAUUUUUAGAGAAAACAGUGCUUAAAUGUCCACUUUUCUACACGUAUUAUGAUGAAGACAGUUCCUUGGUUUGUAGGAUUCUGUCUGUUAACAUUCAGUCAAGUUGAAAUGGAUCUGAAAAUCAUGACACAUGAAAGGCGGCUGGAGGAACAGUGGUUGGGAGAGAAUGAGUAACCGGUCUCAGUUAUCUUCAGGACUGCCAUGAAAAAUGGGAAGAAAGAAUACUCUGAGCUCCUCUGUAAGACAGAAUAAGGAUCAGUAAAGGUGGGGUUGAGGGCACUCUGCAGCCUUUAGUAGCCAAAGAAAGAACAUUUUAACAGAGACACUCCCAACAUUGGAAUAGUUUGCCUGAUACAACAGAUAACAAAGCAGUGUCACAGGCAGAGUUGUGACUGUUUUUAAGGGUAAUUGGGGCAGAAGCGUCUACAUGACAAGUGAGAUUGAAGCUAUUCCAUCUUUUCCAACCCGAAAAGGCAUUGUUCACUAAGCCAAAAAGUCAGUCUAAAAGUCUGGUGUUAAUACUAAGCAGAUAAUUAAUAAAUACUUUCAACACAUCAAGGUCUUCUAUAAGCAUACAACAGAUAAAUAGAACAUCGUGGUCAAUUAAUUCUUUGAAUGUUUUAGAAAUAGAUACAGGGUUGACAUUAGUUACUAUCCAAGAAAAAUUUAGGUUAUCUUAGUAUAUAAAAUAAUACCGUAUCUCAACAGCAGUCCAAAAUACUCUUAGGUAUUUCAAAGACUGUAGGAUUUAUUCUUUCUCUACAUGCCAGGUCACUUUUCCUGUGUACACUAUUAUUGUCUCAAACCUAGCUUAUUUUCUAUGGCUGCCUCCUAACUAGACAAUUAUUUCUAAUCUCUUUCCCCUGUAAUCCUCUGGAACACUCCAACUAGAUGUCUGCUACAACCCCUUUGGAACAAAUAACUAACUAUUCAAAAGUCUAGAAUGAGUCACCCAUUUAGAAAUAUGUAUGGAAAAGAUCAGAAUGGGCAUAAAAAUACAAAUAGUUAUUAAAGUUUAGGUAAGCAGUGUUUAAAUGUUCUUGGUGGAGUAUGAAUAAAGUUCGAAUUAUAAAUAAAAUCAGGUGCAAAACAAAGACUCUACAAGGAUCCCUUACUACCUAACAUACCACACACAAAAGUUCCAAUUUAACUUUUGAAAAGAACCUUCAUUAAGUCCUCCCAAUUGACCUUUUUUCUUACUACCUUUGCAAUAAAGGUCUGCUAAUAUUUCAUUGUCAAACUUUCCGCUCUCCCCUAACUCUCAUUCUUCUUCCUUGUCCUUCUCUCUGGAUUCUUCUUUCUACGCUAUUUGCUCUCUUCAUCCCUAAGAACAACUGCAUGCCAUCUGUGUGUUCACUUUGUCCCUAAUGUAGGUCCACCUCCUGAGGGUAGGGUCUUUGUUCUUCAUUCCACUCCCUGAAUCUAAAAUAGUGCUUUGCAAGUAAAAGAUGUUAAUGAACUAUCUGUUGAAUGAAUGAUUGUCAUUUCUGUGACUACACAAAUCCCUAACCUUCUUUCCCUUUUUGAAAUUGGAUAUAAAUUGAUUAUAUAUUGUGUGUGAUUUUAUAUUGCAUUAUAUCUUUUUCUAGUCAUGUUCACGCUUUAGCGUAGGUUUCUCAAGAUGAGAUUUUUGUCAUCCGUGUUAUUUAAUUCAAUACCUUUCAACAAAUUUUUAUUGAAAAUCUACUGUUGGUCAGGCACUUUAGUAGGAGUUAUAAGUUAAAAACUGUAUUUAACGAGAGUCAGUGAAGACCAAAUGGAAUAUUUCUCUGCUGAUUUCUUUUACACAAAAUAAAUAUACCUGAAAUCUACGGUCUAAAUAAAAAUAAUAGUAAAAUUUCUGUACUUUCAUACCAUCUU